Molecule: ribosomal RNA, 505 nt
Filed under: uncultured bacterium
Lineage: Bacteria
Description: bacterial SSU rRNA
Rfam family: Bacterial small subunit ribosomal RNA
Source: RNAcentral
GAUGAACGCUAGCUACAGGCUUAACACAUGCAAGUCGAGGGGAAACGAUAUUGGAAGCUUGCUUCUGAUAGGCGUCGACCGGCGCACGGGUGAGUAACGCGUAUCCAACCUGCCCAUCACUUGGGGAUAACCUUGUGAAAGUAAGACUAAUACCCAAUGACGUCUCUAGAAGACAUCUGAAAGAGAUUAAAGAUUUAUCGGUGAUGGAUGGGGAUGCGUCUGAUUAGCUUGUUGGCGGGGUAACGGCCCACCAAGGCGACGAUCAGUAGGGGUUCUGAGAGGAAGGUCCCCCCACAUUGGAACUGAGACACGGUCCAAACUCCUACGGGAGGCAGCAGUGAGGAAUAUUGGUCAAUGGACGAGAGUCUGAACCAGCCAAGUAGCGUGCAGGAAGACGGCCCCGUAUGGGUUGUAAACUGCUUUUAUAAGGGAAUAAAGUGAGUCUCGUGAGACUUUUUGCAUGUACCUUAUGAAUAAGGACCGGCUAAUUCCGUGCCAGCAGCCG